Non-coding RNA from Pelobates cultripes (western spadefoot toad), 273 nucleotides. Lineage: Eukaryota; Metazoa; Chordata; Amphibia; Anura; Pelobatidae. The record is from the annotation of a GenBank genome assembly.
GGAAUUGAGAAGAUAUAUAUCCAAAGAUUUUUGAAGGCUCUUUACUUGGCUCCAAUGUGGGAGAAUAUUUGGGGCAGCCUUCUCCAUGUCCUCUUCACAACUGAUGUAUUGAGGGAAAAACAGAACAUGGCCAUAAUUAUUGUUAUGGAAUAAGUGAGUUACACUAGUCAUGGAAGAAUGAAUUGAGGUCCUGUAAGUUCACUUACGUAUGCAUUAUAUCAUGACAGGAGAUAACAGCCAAGGCAAUACAUUUAUGAUAUGAAUGCUAUAUGU